AUAGAUAAAUGUAAAGAUUAAGAUGAAUAAAUAUUUUAAGUAUAAUUUUUAUAUAAAUUUAUAAAAUUUAUAAUUAUUUGAGUGUAUAGUACUGUGAGGGAAUAUAUAAAUUUUUUUGUUUAUAAAUAGUGAAUAAGAGAUAUAUAUGUACCUUUUGUAUUAGGGGUUUAUAAUAAAAUUUUUUUUUAAAAAUUUCCCGAAUAGUAUAGAGUUAAUAGGAUAUAAUUUACUUUAUUGUAAAAAUGUGAUAAAUUUCCUGUUUGGGGUGAAAUGUUAUACAAUAUGCUGGAUAUCUGGUUAAAAUAAAUAACUUUAGGUGAUUCAUUUUGUUUUCUAUUGAUUGUUGAAAUGGAGUAAAUAUUUAGGGAUAAGCUUUAGUAUAAACUAUAUAUAUAUAUAUAAAAUUUGGUGUUAGAGAUUUAAUAGUGUUUGUGUAUUGUAAUAAAUAAAUAUGGUGUUUUAUAGGGUUAGUUAAUAAUAUAAUAUUUUUAGUAAAUUUAAGUUAAGAUAAAUGAUGUAAAUAUGAGUAUAAUAGAAAAUUAUGGGAUAUUUGAUGUUGAAGAAUUCGGCAAAUUUAAAUUUUGAAUGUUUAACAAAAACAUUUCUUUAUGGAUAAUUUAAAGUAUAUUCUGCUCAAUGAUAAAUUUUAAUUGCCGUGGUAUAUUAACUAUGCGAAGGUAUUGAAAUAAGGCUUUAAUUGGGUUCUAAGAGAAGGGAUGAACAAAGUUUAUCUAUUUGAGCUACAAUAUUAAAAUUUUUGUUUAAAAUGAAGAUAUUUUAAUAAAAAAAUGGGACGAGAAGACCCUAUAAAUCUUUACUUAAAAGGUAACUAAUUGUAUAGGAGAUGUUGAUAAGUUUAAUUGGGGCGAUUAAAAAAUAAUUUUUAACUUUAUAUGGAACCUUUAAUAGACGGUUGUAAGAAUAAGAUACUUUAGGGAUAACAGCAUAAUUAUUUUUGAUAGUUCAUAUUGACAAAAUAGUUUGUGACCUCGAUGUUGGAUUAAUAAACCUUUUUAAUGAAGAAGUUAAAAUAGGGGGUUUGUUCAACCUUUAAAUUAUUACAUGAUCUGAGUUCAGACCGGCGUGAGUCAGGUUAGUUUCUAUCUAUUUUAAAAUUGUUUUUAAAUGUUAGUACGAAAGGAAUACUUUUAUAUAAGUUUUAUUAAAAUUGUUGU
This 1175-nucleotide ribosomal RNA is filed under the name Microdiplogynium sp. XFX. Its description in RNAcentral is "16S ribosomal RNA". The stretch from base 788 to 1109 matches the Rfam family "Archaeal large subunit ribosomal RNA", at positions 2151 to 2715 of the family's 2987-position model. Lineage: Eukaryota; Metazoa; Arthropoda; Arachnida; Mesostigmata; Diplogyniidae. The record is from RNAcentral.